Molecule: non-coding RNA, 3698 nt
Organism: Miniopterus natalensis
Lineage: Eukaryota; Metazoa; Chordata; Mammalia; Chiroptera; Miniopteridae
Source: RefSeq, a predicted model, not a curated record
CAUCGCCUCCCGCGCCCGGGUCCGGCUGCGCGCGGGCGGCAACGAAAACGACGAGCGCGUCCCCCCUGUGGACCGCAGAGUCCGGGGAGCCGCUGGGUGGGAGCCCCUUCUUCACGGCCCCAAAGGCCCCGGAGCCGGGGACACCAGACGGGCCGCCUGGCUCCCGGGGAGACGCCCCAAUGGGCUCCCGCCCGAAUCCACAGGUCGGUUCCCAAAGGCCCUUUCUCUUCCCUCCUCUCCACCGGGGUCUCUGCCCCCCACCCCCGACCUUCCUACUUUGGGAACGAAAUCGCGCCUGCGGUCCUGAGGGCUAGACCCCCUGAGGGCAGACGCGCCCCUGGACCGUAGAUGGUCCUGCACGCCUCAGUUUCCCCAUCUGUGAAAUGGGGCCGGAGACGCCUGUGCCCCUCUCACAGGUUUAUGUGGGUUAAAGGGGGAACCACAGAAACGAGGGGGGGGAAUGCAGCCCACCCUUUGGGGCCACGUUUAAGCCGAGUGGCCCCGAGGUGGUCCGGGAGGUGAAGGGGUGCGGGGUGGCUCUUAGCGACCCCUGCCCAUCCCUGCUUCUGUGAGACCCGUUCCCAGGUCUCCUGUCUCCAGGGCUGGUGGAGGAGGGUGAGGGUCCCGCUCGCCCCUGGACGGGUUUGGCUUGCCCUGGGCUUCUCUCAGGGUCCUCUGGGGCCGGGAUGCAGGGAGAGGUGACCCACCAGGUCCAGCUCUCGGAGUGGCCCACCCUGCACCCCGUAUCUCACCGCGGGCAGGUGCUGGGGCUGCCAGGGAGGAAGGACAAGCCACAGAGGCCCUGGUGCCCCCCCAGCUCCUGGGAGGGACACACCCGUCUCCCUCACUCCCCUGCCUGCCAGGACUUGGGUGUUCCUGGUUUUGGGGGCCUGCGUGUCCGGGCAAGCCUGGGCGGGACCCUCAGGGCGUGACCUUGGAAGCUUGGGCUCCUUUAGCUUCCCUUAAACUACGCCCCUGGGUGUUGACUUGCUGGGCGGGGGGAGCUAGAGGAGGGAGCAGGACCAGAGCAAACCUGGCUGCCCACUGCUCCCAACCCACUGCUCCCAACCGGACCCUGGGGGGCGAAGGGGGAGGAAGCUGCGGCAGACGGGAGAGCCCCAGCGGACACUCCCUCCCCCACCACGCUGUGCCUGCUACUGAACCUGUAACCUCUGGCCGGAGGUGGAGACUAGAAAAGGGCGGAGAUCUGGACGGCCUCCCGCAGGGGAGAAAAUCACCUCUGCUGAGUGGCCCAAGGGCCGGGAGGGUGCCCCCCUGCCAUCCUUGCCCCCUGCAUCCCAGACCUAAGCCCCUCGAAGAAGGAACAAGCGAUGUUCAGAGAGGCAGAGACACACAUACAAGGUCCCAAGGCCCCUGAAGCCCAGGCAGGUCAGAAAACUUCCUGAGGACCAACUGUGUGCCAGGCCCAGGGACUAGGGUAAGGACCCCAUGAUUCCGGCCCUGAGAAGCCCCCCACUCAUGGGGACCCCCUUGAUAUCACUGGAAUUAUAAUGGGAGUCUGUGCCCGGUGGGGGUCAGCAGAGAAAUUGCCUGGGCGCUGUUCCCUGCACCCUGUCUUCCCUCGGCCCGAUGCAUGCGGCUGUGCUGUGACCCCCUCCCAGGGCAAGCAGUCAGCUGGGGGGGAGUGAAGACCGAAGGAGCCUCAGCAUAGUCAGAGCCAGGAUCUUCCCCACUCCCUCCCCCUGGAACCCUGGGUCAACCGUCCAGCUUCCUGGGAGCCCCGGUUUCUUACACAUACCUGUCUAGCCAGAGGGAGGGUUACAGGAAUUGAUGCGUGGGGGGGUCCUGGAGCUUCCUGGGAGCUCUGCGGGUUGUUGGAGCAGAGACUGCUGAUGGCAGGGGUUCCUGUGCCCUCUGACCCCUCCCCUCCCAGAACCAAGGCCUGUCCCCAAGGCUCUGAGUUGGAGUCACGGAGGGCAGCCACCUGGCUGGGCACAGAGGGCGAGUGUGGCAGGGACUGACAGUGCUCCUGGGAGCCCUCAGGCGGGUCUUAAGGGGCUUCCAGGGUCUGCUUCACCCUCGUGACCUUGGCUGCCCCGGUGUUGCCUGGUCAGCGUGGAGACUGAGGGUCAGCUGGUCUUCCUGCACCUGCGAUCCAUGCUAAGGCUCUUGGAUCAGGCUGCGGACCCAGCAUUCGUUCAUUCAUUCAUUCAUUCACUGGCACAUGGCCGAGGCCUCAGCGAGGCUGUGGGCUGCUAGAGCUGAUGGUCCCAUGGUGAGGCUGGCCUUGGAGGGCGGGUCCUGCAGCAGACUUGGGGCUCCAGGGCAUCCGGCUCCCCGGGAAGCCCCAGCCUGGAGCCAGCUGAGAGCUCAGUGAAGGGGCGAAUGACUCAGGAAUGAAUGAGGGGUGCCGAGCAGGUGGGAAGUGACCCUUGGACCCCCACAGCCUGGCUGCAGCCCAGGGAAAGACAGAAGGAGGCCAAGGGCAACACUACAGGACGUCGGAGUGGAGGCUGCAGCCCUGGCCUGAGUGGCCUGUCCUUCAUCUGUCCCGGCUUGCAAAGGGCCACCUGCAUUCAGCAGCCAGCACCAGUCCCACCGAGGGGACCAAGCAGUGAGCGAGGCACCCAGGGGCCCCGCUGCACGGGACACGUUGGCCAAGGAAGCCGACUUGCUCGGAGCCCUCCGUGGGACCAUGAGGCCGGGACACCAUCAGGAGGCUGUCUAUCCACAGGGUUGCCUGGCCUGGAGCGAUCGAGCCAGGUGGUGCUAGUCUCCUGUGCCCGGCAGGCUUGGCUCCUGCCCCUGUGCCUCACAGGGCCAUGGGACCCUCACGACAAUCUCAUGCCACAGGAGCUACAAUUGUCUGCUCCUUACCAAUGGGGAAACUGAGGCUCGGAGGAGCGAGGCGUGCCUUGGGUGAAGGGAAGCGGGGCCCGCCACCUGACAAAGCCCUACUCCAAGUGACCCAGGCAGGUGACCGGAUAACACCUAGGUAGGCGGGUGGGGUCUCUGCCCGGACCCUUUCCCGGGUGUGAGCUCCCCAGUGCUCUGGGCUGGCAUCACCCACCCACGUGCUCCCAACAAUAACUGAGACAUUUAUUUGCCUGUGUCCAGAAAGACAGCUCUUUAGGGUCACUGUACCCUGAGUCCAGCUCUCUCUGGGGAGUCAGCCCCCCUCAGGGUGGCCAUCCCAGGACUGUUCUGGGAGCAGGUCCCACAACCCAGCCAGUGGCUUUGGGGGCCCACGGGGGAGGGGGGUCACGCACCACCCAGGUCAUGCUCAGCAUCUGGGCUCCUGGUGAGGUCUUUCCAAUCAUAAAACGUGUCGUUUAGAAGAUGCGUCAGUGACAUGUGCGCCAAGCCCGGCCCACUCGGGACGCGGCCGCUCUGAUACACACAGACACGCCAUUCCCACAUCGGAGAAGUCACAGUUUCCCGUGGGAACGCAGCGCCUUUCAGGGGGUUAAUUAAUGAACAGCAGGCGAUUGUUCGGGGCGCGUGGUGGCGGAGGGUGGUUUCCAUCCGAGGACAGACGCCGGGGCCGGCCCCUCCGUACUCAGCCUUUUUGUGUAAUAAUCACCUUGGCUUCACCUCCGCCUUUAAUUUUUACAGCUGGAGCUGUUUAUCCUACCCCAACUCUCACUGAAACGGGAAAACUGUCACUUAAACAAAGCCAUUGAAAACUCGGCGUCGUAUGUGGAUUUCUUAACAUAAAUAAAUCACACGCACCAAGA